UUAGAUACCCUAUUAUUUUGAUUGUAUAACGAUAAAUUAGAUGAUUAAUAGUUAAGUUCUUUAAAGUUAAAUAAUUUGGCGGUAUUUUAGUCUUUUCAGAGGAACCUGUCCUAUAAUUGAUAAUCCACGUUUAAAAUUACUUAAAUUAGAAAUUUAUAUAUCAUCGUGAAAAAUAUUUUUUUAGAAUUAAAUAUUUUUAAUAUAAAAUUUUAUAAUAAUUCAGAUCAAGGUAUAGUUAAUAUUUAAGAAGAGAUGGGUUACAAUAAAGUUAUUUAUGAAAAUAAAAUUUAAAAUUUUAUAGAAAAUGGAUUUGAAGGUAAUUAAAUUUAU
Molecule: ribosomal RNA, 330 nt
Filed under: Nephus reunioni
Lineage: Eukaryota; Metazoa; Arthropoda; Insecta; Coleoptera; Coccinellidae
Description: partial 12S ribosomal RNA
Source: RNAcentral